AACGCAUUGCCGCCGGGUAAUGCGGUUCUAAACGCGCUGGACUCACGCCGUCAGGCCUUAGAAGGGGUGAGUCUCGGCGCGGUUUUUUAUU
Molecule: non-coding RNA, 91 nt
Filed under: unclassified sequences
Source: RNAcentral